RNAcentral lists this long non-coding RNA (816 nucleotides) under Homo sapiens (human). RNAcentral's name for it is "HSALNT0375538". Lineage: Eukaryota; Metazoa; Chordata; Mammalia; Primates; Hominidae. The record is from RNAcentral.
UCGAUUGAAAGUUCCAGAACUGCGUUAAAAUUGUAGUUCUAACAUUUACUAGCUUAUCUUAGGUGAGCUUAAUCUCUCUCUCCUUGAGUGUGACUGAAUUCAGUGAGAGAAUCUGCUAGAAAUGGAUUCACUUCCAGCGAACAGAAUGUGAUCAAAGUGAUGGCAUGCCUCUUCUGAAAUAGGUCCAAAAAAGGAUUUGGCUUCCUCCUUGCUCUUGAGCUCACAUCACUCGCUCUGGGGGUAAGCUAGGUGCCAUAUCAUAUGAACACUCAAGCAGCACAAUGGAGAGACCCAUGUGGGAAUUGAGGUCUCCUGCCAACACCAGGAAGGAAUUAAGACCUCCUCCCAAAGGCCGUGUGGGUGAGCCAUCUUGCAAGCAGCUCCUCCAACCCCAGUCAAACCUUCAGAUGACUGCAGCCCUAGCUGACAUUUUUACUGCAAGCUUAUGAGAGACCCUGAACCAGAACCUAUCAGUUAACCUUCUUCUAAAUUCUUGACCUUUAGAAACUGCAACAUGAACCAUUUGAGAGUAAGUUAAUGAAUGCGCCUCCAUUCCUGAAUACUUUGGUGUGCCUUUCUUGUAACAAGGAUAUUCUCAUAUACAGCUAUCAAAAUCAGGACAUUAACGUUAACAUUCACAUUAUGCUACCAUCUAACUCAGACUCUACUCAAAUUUUACCAUUUGUCUCAAUAAUGUUCUUUAGAGCAAAAAGAUCCAAUCAGAAUCAUGUGUUUCAUUUAGUAGUCAUGUCUCUUUAUUCUCAUUUGUUGUAAUACAAUUCCGCAGGCUUUCUUAGACUUUGACUCUUUUGAAGA